RNAcentral lists this microRNA precursor (143 nucleotides) under Gossypium barbadense (sea-island cotton). RNAcentral describes it as "MIR7502 microRNA precursor family". It matches the Rfam family "MIR7502 microRNA precursor family". RNAcentral also lists the same sequence under 1 other name. Lineage: Eukaryota; Viridiplantae; Streptophyta; Magnoliopsida; Malvales; Malvaceae. The record is from Rfam by way of RNAcentral.
UGUCUAAAUAUUCAUCUAUUUCUAUAAUUAAAAACUGACGUGACUAAUAGAAUAGCCAAAUAGUUACACAUAACAUGUAAGGUGUGCCUCAUGUUGAUAUACAAUAACUAGUUUUUAAUAGUAAAAAUGGACAAUUUUUAAUA